UACAUAUUUAUACUGAAUUUUGAUUACUGCUUUGAACUUGUUAACUAGAAGUAUUAGUUGUUCUUUAAACGUGAAUAAAACCAGACGUGGUCAUUUGAAGGUACAAAUAAUAUAAUAUAAAUCGAAAUUGAAAUCCGAUGAAUAUAUUUUAUUCACAAAAUAAUUAAUGUUCGAAGACAUGACUGUAUAUGGUAUUAUCGUUCAAAUAAUACUAGUUUGCAACUAAUAAUUUUAUCGCAGUAAUAGAUAAUUUCAAUUAAAUAUGACUUAGUAAAAUAAUAAAACCAAAAUGACGAUCAUAAAACAAUUGUUUCGUUUCAAAAUAAUUAAUUUAAGUAAGACGAUUAUUGAGAAUUGGAAAACAAUAGGAUAUUCUGCAAAUUUGUCCGUUACCAAAGCAAAUGACUGGAAUUUAUUAUGCUAUCAUAAGUUAAGUGUUCUUGUUACCAAAUAGCAAAAAGAAAAAAAAAAUAAAAAUAAAUUUGUUUAUUUAAAAUA
Bactrocera tryoni is the source of this 498-nucleotide long non-coding RNA. RefSeq lists it as uncharacterized. The record is from RefSeq and is a predicted model, not a curated record. NCBI's taxonomy places the organism in Eukaryota, Metazoa, Arthropoda, Insecta, Diptera, Tephritidae. The transcript is spliced from 2 exons.